AGUGGUAGAGUGCUCCUGGGUUCAAAAUAGGUAGUGAAGUCUAAGAGUGAAAUGGGGAUGUGGCCCAGUGGUAGAACAUUUGCUCAGAACAACAGUCAUAAACCUGGAUUUCGACAGGCAAUCCUGGUUGUCUGGUUUCCUGCCAAGAUAAUUCCUGAGCUUCAAUUACUUGACCUGAAAAGGUGGAUGUGAACAUAGUGUCCUAAGAAAGAAGGAACACUCUGAAAUAACUAGGAAAAGACAAACACUUGAACAGAUUUUGUGGAAGUGGUAAUUGUAUGAAGAAAGGAAAAAUUAAGUAGCAAUUUUUGAACUGAUGAUGUCAUUUCAGGCCUAUCAUAGGAAUAGUUUGUCAGUGUGUGUGUUCAGGAAAGGGAGUGAAUUGUCUUUUUAUUUGCUAUACUGGGGAUUGAAGCCAGGGAUACUCUGUCACUAAGCUUCAUCCUCAGCUCUUUAUUUUUUUAUACCUUUAUUUUACUUAUUUAUGUGGUGCUGAGGAUCGAACCCAGUGCCCCACACAUGCAAGGCAAGCGCUUUACCACUGAGCCACUACCCCAGCCCAUCAGCUUUUUAUUUUUUAUUUUGAUACAGGGUCUCACUAAAUUGUCAAGGUUAGCCUCCUCCCUCAGCCUCCUGAAUUGCUGGGAUUACAGGCAAGCACCUGGGUGUGUGUUUGUUUGUUUCUAAUAUUUAUUUUUUAGUUGUAGCUGGACACAAUACCUUUAUUUAUUUUUUGUGUGGUGCUGAGGAUCAAACCCAAUGCCUCACACGUGCUAGGCGAACGCUCUACCGCCGAGCCACAACCCCAACCCUGAGUUUUUUCCUUUUUGAACAGUGAAGGAAGGUUUAUUUUUGGCCAGGAAUAGGAGUAGCAGGGAGAAAGGCUCAUAGAUCAGUUUCUCUGUGAAUUGUCUUUGAUGAGGUUUGCCA
This 930-nucleotide long non-coding RNA is filed under the name Marmota monax (woodchuck). The record is from RNAcentral. Lineage: Eukaryota; Metazoa; Chordata; Mammalia; Rodentia; Sciuridae.